UGGGGAAUUUUGGACAAUGGGGGAAAGCCUGAUCCAGCAAUGCCGCGUGCGUGAAGAAGGCCUUCGGGUUGUAAACUGCUUUUGUACGGAACGAAACGGCCUUUCCUAAUACCGAGGGCUAAUGACGGUACCCGAAAAAUAAGCACCGGCUAACUACGUGCCAGCAGCCGCGGUAAUGA
Molecule: ribosomal RNA, 179 nt
Filed under: uncultured Comamonadaceae bacterium
Lineage: Bacteria; Pseudomonadati; Pseudomonadota; Betaproteobacteria; Burkholderiales; Comamonadaceae
Description: partial 16S ribosomal RNA
Rfam family: Bacterial small subunit ribosomal RNA
Source: RNAcentral